Molecule: long non-coding RNA, 2163 nt
Organism: Oreochromis niloticus (Nile tilapia)
Lineage: Eukaryota; Metazoa; Chordata; Actinopteri; Cichliformes; Cichlidae
Source: Ensembl
UUUUUUCAAUUUUAUAGAUGACAUAGAUGGGAUGGCUACUGGAUCACAGCAACUCCCUGAUGCUUCCACAUUGCGAGAUGACCAGGGAAAUGAUGCCUGUUUGACUUCUGGUUCACCUCCUGUCCCUGACUCAGUUACUAAAGGUUUACGUGUUUCAUCAAGGCGGUGUGUGAAGACACCAUGGUCUGAGGAGGAGAUAGGAGCGGUGAUGAAACAUAUGAAGCCUUUUAUUGAAAACGGUAUCACUGUCACCAACCAGCAGUGUCUGAAGUGCAAAGAAAAGGAACAACCUAUCUUGGAGACGAGAUCUAUUCAAAACAUUCGAGAUUUUGUGCGCAACAGAGGACUGGCCUUUAAAAAAAAUAAAUAAAUGUUAAACACUAAAUGCACUUUUUGACAGUCUGAGCCUUUACCUUUCUGGGCCUGAUUUCAAGGUUAGUGUUCUCCAUUCAAAAAGUAUGUAGUUGACUUCACUGUGCUCACAGGCAGUGUUUUGUUUUGAUGUGUGGUUAGCCUGAGUCUUUUAAUGCCAGGAUUCACUUUUAUUUUCCUUCAAUAAUUGUUACAAUGCUGUCCUUUUAAUGAAUUGAUUAUUGAGUUGGUUAUAUUAAAUAUAGUUCAGUAAUUCAACAAAUGUGUUGUGUGUUGAUAUAAGUCUUAUGUAUAAGUCAUGGUGUCAGCCCGACUCACCCCUGGUGUGCAAAGGUGCUGUUUUAUUGGUCAGCCACUCAGUGCCAGUUUCUUCAGGACAAUGAAAAACUCUAUAAUACAUAGUUUGUUCUAGUUGAUGCAAGCACUGUUGUGUUAUGCUUCUAGUUGUUUUAAUGACACUUUGACCACCUGUUAGUAGAUCACAACAGAUAUGAUCUGUGGUGUUUUAUGUAAGCUUGUAUGUCAGAUUGUAAUGCUCAUCAGAGAAAACCAAAAUAUAGUCUUUUUAUUAUUUUUUAAUUUAUUCAUCCAUCCAUCCAUCUUCAACCGCUUAUCCGAGGCCGGGUCGCGGGGGCAGCAGCCUAAGCAAAUUUAUUCAAUUUUACUAUAAUGAUGUAUCAGUCACAGUCUUAUAAUACACCUUCUUUUCUAAGAAGGUUAUACUUAGUGCAUGUGUGAGUAUAUGUACAGUGAACUGGCUUUACACACCAUGUGUCCUUUUAAACCAGAUUUACUCAGUGUGUGUGUGUGUGUGUACAGUAGACUGGCUUUACACACCAUGUGUCCUUUUAAACCAGAUUUACUCAGUGUGUGUGUGUGUGUGUACAGUAGACUGGCUUUACACACCAUGUGUCCUUUUAAACCAGAUUUACUCAGUGUGUGUGUGUGUGUGUGUGUGUACAGUAGACUGGCUUUAUACACCAUGUGUCCCUUCAGAACAGACUAUACUUUGUGUAUAUGUAUGAUGACAUCACUGACCUUGUACACCAGACUGUCCUUAUAGACCGAGCUACAGAAAAGUCUCUACAAACCACCAGAAUGUCUGAAAAAAUAGCCUUUUUUAUAUCUCAGUCGAGCAAAGAAAAUGUUUAAAUUUUAAGUUGUGUAUAGGUUUGCUGAUUUUUUUCAUGAUUUUUGAUAUGCAUAUUGUAGCUCUAGCACCUCUGGAACCCGGUGUCCCCAUAGCCCUAUGUCCACUCUAAUUUGCCAAAAAUUUCAGAAAUUGUCCCUCUAACCCAAGAAACGGGUAUGUGUGUGUGUGUGUGUGUGUGUGUGUGUGUGUGUGUGUGUGACCCCAUAAACGACUUCCCUAAACCUGCUGGUCUGGAAGUCCAGCAGUUCAUCUAAACAAAAGGCACUUAGACUAAAACAGAUAUACGUGUGUUUGCUAUACCAUAUAUCAGAAGAGAAGAUACAACCUUGCUCAUGAUCCCAAGACGUGUGUGAACUAUGCCAGAACACUCUGAGGAGGAGUGAACACCCUCCCCUCUUCAUGCUACACAGAGUUGUUACAGACCUCCUAGGAUGAGACAUUCUUUCAAUCUAUAAAUGAUUAUAUACUUCUAAACAUAUAUGAGUAGAUAUUUCUAAGCAUAAAUGACAACCAACAAUACAACUCUAACAAUGACAGCACUCCUGUAUGUGAACACCACAGCCCAGCGUUUACAGACUUUUAAAAGCUUUGUAAGAAAAACUAUUUAAACAUGAAGGAAGUAUAAAAACUAACAUUGU